Molecule: unclassified non-coding RNA, 280 nt
Filed under: Hevea brasiliensis (rubber tree)
Lineage: Eukaryota; Viridiplantae; Streptophyta; Magnoliopsida; Malpighiales; Euphorbiaceae
Source: RNAcentral
AGAUUAUACCAUCAAGUGCUACUUUUGUAGCAACAAACCGCAGGGAUUUAGGUUGCAUUUGAAAUCUCAGUCUUAUGACGCGAUCCAACCCUUCAUACCAGAAGUGGCCAACGGGUCCAACAAAUGCAAAGCCGAACAAGCUCGUUGUGGCAACUCGUCUCCAGUUGAUUGUAAAUUCUUUAUUUUCAUUAGAAUGAAGAUGAUGGUGUUUCUUUGCUGUAUAAUGAGUGACGGCUUGAGCAGAUACGUCGCCGAGACCCCAUAUAAGACCGGAGCUGAU